GACGAACGCUGGCGGCGUGCUUAACACAUGCAAGUCGAACGGAAAGGCCCUGCUUGCAGGGUACUCGAGUGGCGAGCGGGUGAGUAACACGUGGGUGAUCUGCCCUGCACUUCGGGAUAAGCCUGGGAAACUGGGUCUAAUACCGGAUAGGAGCCAUUUUUAGUGUGAUGGUUGGAAAGUUUUUUCGGUGUAGGAUGAGCUCGCGGCCUAUCAGCUUGUUGGUGGGGUAAUGGCCUACCAAGGCGGCGACGGGUAGCCGGCCUGAGAGGGUGGACGGCCACAUUGGGACUGAGAUACGGCCCAGACUCCUACGGGAGGCAGCAGUGGGGAAUAUUGCACAAUGGGCGCAAGCCUGAUGCAGCGACGCCGCGUGGGGGAUGACGGCCUUCGGGUUGUAAACUCCUUUCGCUAGGGACGAAGCCUUUUGUGACGGUACCUAGAUAAGAAGCACCGGCUAACUACGUG
RNAcentral lists this ribosomal RNA (465 nucleotides) under uncultured bacterium. Its description in RNAcentral is "partial 16S ribosomal RNA". It matches the Rfam family "Bacterial small subunit ribosomal RNA", at positions 28 to 507 of the family's 1533-position model. The record is from RNAcentral.